ACGUCUCCGUUUCAUAAAACAGAAGACAAGGAAUUCGUUUCUUAUUUAUCAAAACCCUAGGCAACAACAAACGCUAAAAUCAUCUUCUAAAUUUCACGAUUCAGCCACAAUUUUCCUUCCUCAAACAAAGCUAAAUUAUUCAGAUGAGUAAUAAUUCUCGUCCCUGCAAAAAUUGUAACAAAAGGACUUUAACUCAAGAUGAAGAUUCAGGGAAUCUCGUCUGCAAAUCAUGUGGAAUAUUGCAAGAUUUCGAUAAUUACGACCCUCAAAUUGGUGGAAUAAGUGGUGCGGGUGGAACUUACGUACGUCACGGAUCUGCUGGUUCAGGUUCUGUUUAUAAUUAUAAAGAAUCUAAAAUUUAUCAUGCCGAGAAAUUAAUUGAAGAUUUAAUGCUCCAAUUAGAAUUGUCCGAUAAAUCCAGUGAUGUUAAAAGAACGGUGUUUCAAAUUACUGAAGGUGAAUAUGGUCAAGGUAGAUGGUUUGAAGUAUGUAUUGGUGCAUGUGCCUAUGUUUUAAUGAGGAAAGAUAGUAAGCAUUUGAGUAUUGUUAAAGUUGCUGAGGUAGUGAAAUGUGAUAUUUUUGAAUUAGGUCGAAUGGUUUAUAGGGUCGUCGAUUUUCUUGAUACAAAGUUGCCUGAAUUUGAUAUUGUUAAUUCGUUCGAGCAUUAUAUUAAAGAAGCCCCGAUUUUUAGUGGGGUUGAGGAGGAUAUAAAAGGAAGGAUGUUGAAACAGGGUGUGUUUUUGGUGCAAUGUUUGGUUAAGUGGUACGUGACAACGGGGAGGAGACCGUUGCCCGUAGUGGCUGCGGUUUUGGUGUUUGUUGCGCAGUUGAAUCAAGUUGACGUGACGAUUGAGGAUGUCGCGGAGGAGUUACAAGUGGUGGUUGGCACUUGUAAGUUGAGGUAUAAGGAGCUUUUGGAAAGGCUUGUGAAGGUUGCUCGAGGUUUGCCUUGGGGUGAGGAUGUUACGGUUAAGAAUAUUAUGAAGCACGCACCGUUUGUUAUUCAAUACAUGGAGUUGAAGUCAAUGUCGAAGAAUAGUGAUAAAAGGAAGAGUUUUAAAGAUGUUGGAGUUGAUCUGGAUUACAUGAUUGAUGAUUUUUUGAGCAACGAAAAUGUUGUUGACAUAAAAAGUGAUUCGCAAUAUUUUCAGAUGGACCCGAGUUUGAGUAUUGAAAGUCCGAAUAGAUUCCAGAUUUCCCAAGAGUGUUUGGCGAUGAUUUAUACAAAGAUUAAGAAUCAAGUUUCUGUACUGGAAUCUGCAAAUAGCAGAUAUAGUAAAGAAAGGGAAACGAAGAGUACGUAUGACUGGUGGCAGGGCGAAUCGGAAAUGAGCAAAAAGCUUUUAGUGAAGCAAAUACUGGAGAAGGAUGUGGGAUUGAGUACUACGCCUCCUUCGUUUGAUAGAGGUUGCUCGGCAAAUGAAAGGAGAAAAGCAAAAAUAAAGGCUGCAAAGUGUCGAAUCCAUAAGACAAUGUAUCCUUCGGAUGCUGGUUCAAUUGAUAAGAUUGAACAAUGUCCCGUUGAACAUGUAAAUGGUGGAAAGAAAAGGAGAAGGAAAAUGAAAGUUGAUGUUGAUUGGGAAGAUUUCAUUAUUGAAACCCUUCUCCUUCAUCAGGUAGAAGAAGAGGAGAUAGAGAAGGGGUAUUAUAAAACGCUGUUGGACUUGCAUGUUUUCAACCAUUGAAGAUAUAGCUGGUCAGUUUAGACCUAAUUUUGAUUUAUGUAAACAAUAUUCACAGACAAAAAACUUGACCUUUUUUUUGGACUGAUUCCGCGAGAGAAUAGGAGCAGCCAUUCUCCUGCCGUAUUCGGAGCAGCUUGUUCCAUAAGCUUAUGCCUCUACUAAACAGAAGCAACUAUUUGAUCGUGAAAAAAAUCUCUUAUAUAAACUGGUUGCUUCAAGCACCUGCAAUAACCAGUGCAUAGGUGACCGUCAAACAGGUUCAGGCAUAGGAAGAAAACAAACAUUACGGAAAUACAUAUAAAUCUGAAGAUAUGCCAGGUUGUUGGUGGAUCAGAAGAUGAUAGGCUUUCUCCCCUUACUGUCCAGCGGCAAAAGCCUCAACUGGGAAAGUUUUCGUGAUUCCAGCAAGACUCUUGAAGUGAAUCUUGCCAGUAGGAGGAUCCACUGUGAUGUCACCGACUGGAGGCCAUAGCAUCAGCUCCUUAGCCUUAACUCCCUUGAGUUUCUUGAUCCGCUUCUUCUCAACGUAUCCAGUUAUUUCGGUACCAUAACUAACCAGUUUACUUAUCAUCUUGAAGUUAUGCUCAACUUUUUUCUGCUGCAGGAUCCACAUGUAGCCGGUGGUUUUAACGAAUCCAACUUCGAUUACUUCAGCUAGAGGGAGAAGCCCUGCUGGAAGUUCGUAUUCUUCAAGAAGGGAAAGCGCCAUUUUCAAACCUUCCUCAUGACCCUUCUUGACAAUUGCUCCUUCCUUCUCUGCCAUGGAUUUCCUCACUUCUAAUUUCUUUUGGAAUUGCUUUUUCUUGCUGGUUUUUGGUUAUCUGUUUGAGGGAUUUAUAAAAUGGUGAUUGUAUGUAAGAGACAAAAAUUAAUGGAGAAACCAAAGAAUGAACAUUGUAUUAGCCACCAAAGCUGCUGAUUUUACUUUAUACCAUUCUCAUUUUUGUCAGUG
Molecule: RNA transcript, 2637 nt
Organism: Nicotiana attenuata
Lineage: Eukaryota; Viridiplantae; Streptophyta; Magnoliopsida; Solanales; Solanaceae
Gene name: plant-specific TFIIB-related protein PTF2
Exons: 3
Source: RefSeq, a predicted model, not a curated record